Mauremys reevesii (Reeves's turtle) is the source of this 471-nucleotide long non-coding RNA. RefSeq lists it as uncharacterized. The record is from RefSeq and is a predicted model, not a curated record. The transcript is spliced from 2 exons. NCBI's taxonomy places the organism in Eukaryota, Metazoa, Chordata, Testudines, Geoemydidae.
CAGGUGGGGAAUAGGCAGCAAAGCCGGACUGGCUUUGAAGAAACAAGAGUAGCUCUUUGCCUGUAAAUCUCCGUGGGUAAUAAAGAGAGAGUGAGAGAUGAGAAAAUAUCUGAUCUCCGUCCAGAAUUGCUUCCAAAAAGGAGGAGUCCGGUUGAUUCUCCAGAGUGAUUAAGGGAACGAUCUGUCUUCCGAGAGGCUGGGGGAACGGCAGCGAGCGAACGGAAGACUGACAGAGGGAGCGAGCGAGAGCAGGAGGGAGAGGGAGUUUAAUGCAAGAAUAAUGGAGUCUUUUCUUUCCUUUCAAAACUUACUGUAUUUCAAGGCCGCACAUUCCGGCCUUGCUGGGCUCAGACCCUUUCAUUAUGGUCUCACCCAAGCCAUAGACAGUAGAGGCCAUCCUUAUUUUUAUCUUUUAGGAAGUGAAUUUGGAGGGUUUAUAUAUAUAAUAAAAAUAUGGGUAUGUAUCUGGAA